AGAAAGAUGGUGGGUUUUUAUUGAACCCAUCUAAAAUCUGAACUUGUGGUAAAAUUGAUAAAACAUUUGGGCUUUAAAAUGGUGAUUCUUUACUUUAUUGAACUGAAUUACCGGCUCAAACAAAUUUACAAACUCUUUUAUUAUUGACUGAAUAUCAAGUAAAUUAAUCCAUUUGGGUUAAAAAAAGUUUUAAA
Molecule: unclassified non-coding RNA, 194 nt
Filed under: uncultured Umbelopsis
Lineage: Eukaryota; Fungi; Mucoromycota; Umbelopsidomycetes; Umbelopsidales; Umbelopsidaceae
Description: sequence contains ITS1
Source: RNAcentral